This 441-nucleotide ribosomal RNA is filed under the name uncultured Pirellula sp. RNAcentral describes it as "bacterial SSU rRNA". It matches the Rfam family "Bacterial small subunit ribosomal RNA", at positions 8 to 490 of the family's 1533-position model. Lineage: Bacteria; Pseudomonadati; Planctomycetota; Planctomycetia; Pirellulales; Pirellulaceae. The record is from RNAcentral.
AGAGUUUGAUCCUGGCUCAGAAUGAACGUUGGCGGCGUGGAUUAGGCAUGCAAGUCGAGCGAGAUCUGUAGCAAUACAGUGAAAGCGGCGAAAGGGAGAGUAAUGCGUAGAUACGUACCUUGGGGUUCAGGAUAGCGUCGGGAAACUGACGGUAAUACUGGAUAAUGUCUUCGGACCAAAGAUUUAUUGCCCUUAGAUCGGUCUGCGUCCUAUUAGCUAGUUGGUGGGGUAAUGGCCUACCAAGGCGAAGAUGGGUACUGGGUGUGAGAGCACGACCCAGCUCACUGGGACUGAGACACUGCCCAGACACCUACGGGUGGCUGCAGUCGAGAAUCUUCCGCAAUGGGGGAAACCCUGACGGAGCGACGCCGCGUGCGGGAUGAAGGCCUUCGGGUUGUAAACCGCUGUCGGAGGGGAGCAAAUUUGAGCGUCCUCGAGAAG